AGGUUUCCUGUCUGCGGCGAUAGAUAGGUCAGGUGCACCCAUCUGCACUGGAACUGUGACAUGCAUAGCGACACGUUUUAGCAUUCAACAGUAAACACAGACAUUUGACACGUCAGCGCCGUCAUUUUCAGUAGUGCAUUUCUGAAACGACAAAAACGGAUGCUCUACGUGAUGUGAUUCAGUGGUGCUGUCGCCAGCUAUUUCUUCAGCCUCUCUUCUACUAGUGGGAUGUACAACCUGCUGGAUCGUGAGGAGUUGGGAGAGAACACUACUACAGGAUUGCCCUGUUUGGAGCUGCAAAGCUCCACACUGAAGAUUGGAGUAUCUGUCUAUAGGACCACUUUAAGCUGUACACUCCACAAAGCUGGGUGUCCAGAAAAAAAGCCAUUGCUUAAAGAAGAAAAUAAAUAAACAAACAGGUUUGGUGUUUGCCAAAAGGCAUGUGGGAGACUCCCCAAACAUAUGAAAGAAGGUACUCUGGUCAGAUGAGUUUUUUGGCCAUCAAGGAAAACGCUAUGUCUGGUGCAAACCCAACACCUCUCAUCUCCCCGAGAAUACCAUCCCCACAGUGAAGCAUGGUGGUGGCAGCAUCAUGCUGUGGGGAUGUUUUUCAUCGGCAGGGACUGGGAAACUGGUCAGAAUUGAAGGAAUGAUGGAUGGCACUAAAUACAGGGAAAUUCUUGAGGGGAACCCGUUUCAGUCUUCCAGAGAUUUUAGACUGGUACAGAGGUUCACCUUCCAGCAGGACAAUGACUCUAAGCAUACUGCUAAAGCAGCGUUCGAGUGGUUUAAGGGGAAACAUUUAAAUGUCUUGGAAUGGCCUAGUCAAAGCCCACACCUCAAUCCAAUUGAGAAUCUGUGGUAUGACUUAAAGAUUGCUGUACACCAGCGGAACCUGUCCAACUUGAAGGAGCUGGAUCAGGUUUGCCUUGAAAAAUGGGCAAAAAUCCCAUGGGCUAGAUGUGUCAAGCUUAUAGAGACAUACCCCAAGAGACUUGCAGCUGUAAUUACUGCAAAAGGUGUCUCUACAAAGUAUUGACUUUGGGGGGUAAAUAGUUAUGCACGCUCAAGUUUUCAGUUUUUUUGUUUUAUUUCUUGUUUGUUUCGCAAUAAAAAAUAUUUAGCAUCUUCAA
Molecule: long non-coding RNA, 1133 nt
Organism: Oncorhynchus masou masou (cherry salmon)
Lineage: Eukaryota; Metazoa; Chordata; Actinopteri; Salmoniformes; Salmonidae
Exons: 3
Source: RefSeq, a predicted model, not a curated record